UACGUAGGGGGCAAGCGUUAUCCGGAUUCACUGGGCGUAAAGGGAGCGCAGGCGGCACGGCAAGUCUGGUGUGAAAACCCGGGGCUCAACCCCGGGACUGCAUUGGAAACUGCUGGGCUGGAGUGUCGGAGGGGUAAGCGGAAUUCCUAGUGUAGCGGUGAAAUGCGUAGAUAUUAGGAGGAACACCAGUGGCGAAGGCGGCUUACUGGACGAUGACUGACGCUGAGGCUCGAAAGCGUGGGGAGCAAACAGG
This 253-nucleotide ribosomal RNA is filed under the name uncultured bacterium. RNAcentral's name for it is "partial 16S ribosomal RNA". It matches the Rfam family "Bacterial small subunit ribosomal RNA", at positions 524 to 776 of the family's 1533-position model. The record is from RNAcentral.